This is a long non-coding RNA of Acanthopagrus latus (yellowfin seabream), 776 nucleotides long. RefSeq lists it as uncharacterized. NCBI's taxonomy places the organism in Eukaryota, Metazoa, Chordata, Actinopteri, Spariformes, Sparidae. The transcript is spliced from 3 exons. The record is from RefSeq and is a predicted model, not a curated record.
UAACUGUGUUUUCUUUGCUUUCACAUGAUGCACAUUAUUAAAUAACAGCAUCAGAAUUUAGACGUGAUCUUUAUAAACCUGGACGUCACAGUGCAGCUCCGUGCAGUCAGGACAGUAACUUACAUCAUGUAACUUAAAUACUAAAGUAACUUAACUUACAAACUAGAGGUCGACCAACAGGUUUAAGGAGACUGAGAACAAGUUCCUCACGUUCUGUCCUUAAGUAUACUUUUAAGAUAAUUUACUUAAGAAUUUCAAUUUGCUGCUCCUUUAAACUUCCAUUCCGUGACAUUUAACUUCAGUUACUCGGCAGAUUUUGAUUCCUCAGUGUUUGUUUGUAGGCUGUUACUUGUAGCCAGUCAGACUGAAAUGGAGCUGCAAGUCAAAUCACAAACAUCCAGGCAACAAAGGCAACCAAGAGAAGCUCAAAGAGCGAGCGAUCAACAGGAGCGUCAGCACAAAAUCAGCUAACGAGGGGACGAGCAGCAGCCUCGCCCUCCUGCGCCCCUCAGCCUCGUCCUCCCCCACCUCUCCUGCAGCCUCCAGGUGAAAGAGCUCCUUUCUUCGGGCAUCUCUCGUGCAGCUGCCGCCUCCAGUAAACACCUCGGGGUGCGAGGGGCUCUCGUGGCUUCCAGCACCUUCCAAACAAAGACGGCGGUUAUGUGUUGGCCCGGCUUUUAUGUAACCUGGCAGCAGAUAAAUAGAAACCAUGAGAUAAAUGGCCACAGCUGAAGACGACAUGUUGGAAACGUCUGUUUACAUGAACGCCAUCGACG